AGGCCAAGGGUGUGCCUUCCUGGAGUGAAGGACUUUCACAGCCCAGCUCUCUGGUAUGGACCCAAUGUCACUGACUACUGAUUCUGCUCAGGCCUCUGGAAAGCCCCUUUGGAAGUUGGGUGUAGCCAUGUGGCUUUCUUGAAUCAGUGAAAUGUGAGCAAAUUGAUGGUGUCGCUUCUGGGCAGAAGUGGUGAGAUCCAGGAAUCCGACAGGCCACCCACCCACUCCCUGCAUUCUCAUUUCCUGCCUUGAACCAGGCACCAGGCGGGGCAGUCACAGCUCAGCAAGGAGAAGCAGCAGGAUGAGGAGAUCUGGCAGCUGCAGAAGGAACAUGGGGCCUGCUCUCAUUCCUGCAGAUGGGAAGGAGAGAAGGAAAGGAUUCUGCAUGGGAAUUCUCAAGACACGGGCCUCCCAAACUUUUAGAGCUUCAUCUUAAGCAACACUACUGAAGUAUUUGUUACUCAUACCCACAUCUUUCAAAUGAGGAAAUUGGGGCACAGAUUGCUCAGGUGACUGGCGUAGAGUCACAGAGCUGGUGAUGGCUGAGUCCAGAUUACCACUGAGGUGGUCUGACUCCAAACCUACAGCACGGAGCAUGGUACAAUGUUUACUUUUGCCUGAAAGUGUUAAGAAAGGCUUACCACUGGAAGAGACAUCUGAGACCCUAGCAGGCAGACACACAAGUGGCUGUGGCUGGACAUCGUGAGGAACACAUGGGUGGAAGAAGACACAGAGGCAGCUGGACGUGGAGAGGAGCACAUCAGCGGAGGAACACACCAGCACACAGCAGCUGGAUGUUGUGAGGAAAGCACUGACAGGCACCAGCACGAUGGCAGGCCACUGACUGGCAGGACAACGGGGAGUUUGGCCAGGGCAGUUGGAGGGGAGCCCAGGCCUCCCAGCAGCCCAGGUCCAAGGGAAAACCAUCUCCCUUCUGGCUCCCUGAUGGGCAGAGAGGUACUUCCACUCAGUAAAAUCUUGCACUCAUUCUCCAAACCCAGGUGUGAUCCGAUUCUUCAGGUACACCAAGGCAAGAACCCAGGAUACAGAAAGACCUCUGACCUUGUGACAAGGUAGAGAGUCUAAUUGAGCUGGUUAACACAAUCUGCCUAUGGACAGCUAAACUAAAAGAGCAAAACUAAAAGAACACCCUGUAACACAGGCCCACUGGGGCUUCAGGAGCUGUAAACAUUCACCCCUAGACACUGCUGUGGGGUCAGAGCCCCACCACCUGCCCAUCUAUAUGCUCCCCUAGAGGUUUGAGCAGUGGAGUACUGAAGAAGCAAGCAAUUUCCCCUGUCACAUGCCCUGUUAGGGGGACAAAAGAACCUUUCCCAUUUCACUGUGUCUCUGUGCCUGGGCUCUGCUCUCUAUUCUGGGACAUUAGCCCAGUCCUUUCAGGAACCUAAUACAUUUCAGCAGUUGAUUGGAGGCCCAGGGUUCUGUGCCCUGGCUGCAUCUGAUAGGAGGGCAUCCCCUCCUCCAUUCCAUGAUGGCCCCACCACUCGCACCUCCAAUGCAGACCCAGACUCACCUGAGCUGUUGAAAUUGCUGUCUUGUUUUCUGGGAUUUUUAGUAGAACCAUCGCAGAAACAAUUGAAGUUACUCCUUAUUUUCUUAGAACUUUCAAGCAAAAUUUUAUUGUGUUUUUUAUUUGUUUGUUUAAUGGUAACUUUCUGAUACACCUUAUACUCUCAAAAAAGAAUUAGCACUUCUUCAUGAGGAUAGAAAGAGAAGUUUUUGAUUUUAACACCCAGGCAGGUUGUGAUGAUAAAUAGUGUCCCCUCUUCACCAAGAAAUGGUGGUGACACAGAUACAUUUCGAGAUGAAGAUGAUGAAGUAAAUUGCCCAAAUCAUACAUUCCCUUCCCCACUGUAAUCAAAUUUGGUUUUAGAGCCUCUGUAAACUCUGUUACAAUUCCCUGUAGUGAGAAGCUGAAGAGCACUUGUCAGAUAAUAAUGGAAGGCUUUAAACUGAAAGUUGUGUGAAUUUUGAAGGAAUUCUCUUACAGCUUUGUUACAAUCAUUUGCAGUGUUCCCAGUAUAGGCCACUAGAGCUGUUUCAUGGAAAUCACUGAGUUUUUCAGAAUAGCUUAUUUUGUUUUUGAGUUGCUUCCAUGUUUCCGACUUUUUCUAGUCAAUGUUUAAAUUUGUAUUCACUCUCAGUUCUUCUUUUAACAGCUGGGGCACCCUUUUCUCCAUUUCUUCAACACAACCCACGCACUGGUCAUCAAACACAUUGUCAGCCAUGUCCAGCUUGGCUGGCUGUCCCAGGCUGGUCACCUGUUAAGAAGGAGUAGAGGCCGGGUGUGAUGGCUCCCGCCUGUAAUUCUGGCACUUUGGGAGGCCGUGGUGGGUGGAUCACCUGAGGUCAGGAGUUCAAGACCAGCCUGGCCAAUAUGGUGAAACCCUGUCUCUACUAAAAAUACAAAAAAAAAAUUAGCUAGGCCUGGUGGCAUGCACCUGUAAUCCCAGCUACUCAGGAGGCUGAGGCAGGAGAAUCGCUUGAACCUGGGAGGUGGAGGUUGCAGUGAGCCCAGAUUGUGCCACUGCAUUCCAGCCUGAGCAACAGAGCGAGACUCCAUCU
RNAcentral lists this long non-coding RNA (2586 nucleotides) under Homo sapiens (human). RNAcentral's name for it is "non-protein coding lnc-PDE2A-1:2". Lineage: Eukaryota; Metazoa; Chordata; Mammalia; Primates; Hominidae. The record is from RNAcentral.